This 253-nucleotide ribosomal RNA is filed under the name uncultured bacterium. Its description in RNAcentral is "partial 16S ribosomal RNA". It matches the Rfam family "Bacterial small subunit ribosomal RNA", at positions 524 to 776 of the family's 1533-position model. The record is from RNAcentral.
UACAGAGGGGGCGAGCGUUGUUUGGAAUUACUGGGCGUAAAGGGCGCGUAGGUGGCCAACUAAGUCGGACGUGAAAUCCCUCGGCUUAACCGGGGAACUGCGUCCGAUACUGGUUGGCUUGAGUUUGGGAGAGGGAUGCGGAAUUCCAGGUGUAGCGGUGAAAUGCGUAGAUAUCUGGAGGAACACCGGUGGCGAAGGCGGCAUCCUGGACCAAUACUGACGCUGAGGAGCGAAAGCCAGGGGAGCAAACGGG